UCAAGUGAAUAAGUGCAUCAGGCGGAUGCCUUGGCGAUGAUAGGCGACGAAGGACGUGUAAGCCUGCGAAAAGCGCGGGGGAGCUGGCAAUAAAGCUAUGAUUCCGCGAUGUCCGAAUGGGGAAACCCACUGCAUUCUGUGCAGUAUCCUAAGUUGAAUACAUAGGCUUAGAGAAGCGAACCCGGAGAACUGAACCAUCUAAGUACCCGGAGGAAAAGAAAUCAACCGAGAUUCCGCAAGUAGUGGCGAGCGAACGCGGAGGAGCCUGUACGUAAUAACUGUCGAGAUAGAAGAACAAGCUGGGAAGCUUGACCAUAGCGGGUGACAGUCCCGUAUUCGAAAUCUCAACAGCGGUACUAAGCGUACGAAAAGUAGGGCGGGACACGUGAAAUCCUGUCUGAAUAUGGGGGGACCAUCCUCCAAGGCUAAAUACUCAUCAUCGACCGAUAGUGAACCAGUACCGUGAGGGAAAGGCGAAAAGAACCCCGGGAGGGGAGUGAAACAGAACCUGAAACCUGAUGCAUACAAACAGUGGGAGCGCCCUAGUGGUGUGACUGCGUACCUUUUGUAUAAUGGGUCAACGACUUACAUUCAGUAGCGAGCUUAACCGGAUAGGGGAGGCGUAGGGAAACCGAGUCUUAAUAGGGCGAUGAGUUGCUGGGUGUAGACCCGAAACCGAGUGAUCUAUCCAUGGCCAGGUUGAAGGUGCCGUAACAGGUACUGGAGGACCGAACCCACGCAUGUUGCAAAAUGCGGGGAUGAGCUGUGGGUAGGGGUGAAAGGCUAAACAAACUCGGAGAUAGCUGGUUCUCCCCGAAAACUAUUUAGGUAGUGCCUCGAGCAAGACACUGAUGGCGGUAAAGCACUGUUAUGGCUAGGGGGUUAUUGCAACUUACCAACCCAUGGCAAACUCAGAAUACCAUCAAGUGGUUCCUCGGGAGACAGACAGCGGGUGCUAACGUCCGUUGUCAAGAGGGAAACAACCCAGACCGCCGGCUAAGGUCCCAAAUGAUAGAUUAAGUGGUAAACGAAGUGGGAAGGCACAGACAGCCAGGAUGUUGGCUUAGAAGCAGCCAUCAUUUAAAGAAAGCGUAAUAGCUCACUGGUCGAGUCGUCCUGCGCGGAAGAUGUAACGGGGCUCAAAUCUAUAACCGAAGCUGCGGAUGCCGGUUUACCGGCAUGGUAGGGGAGCGUUCUGUAGGCUGAUGAAGGUGCAUUGUAAAGUGUGCUGGAGGUAUCAGAAGUGCGAAUGUUGACAUGAGUAGCGAUAAAGCGGGUGAAAAGCCCGCUCGCCGAAAGCCCAAGGUUUCCUACGCAACGUUCAUCGGCGUAGGGUAAGUCGGCCCCUAAGGCGAGGCAGAAAUGCGUAGUCGAUGGGAAACAGGUUAAUAUUCCUGUACUUGAUUCAAAUGCGAUGUGGGGACGGAGAAGGUUAGGUUGGCAAGCUGUUGGAAUAGCUUGUUUAAGCCGGUAGGUGGAAGACUUAGGCAAAUCCGGGUUUUCUUAACACCGAGAAGUGAUGACGAGUGUCUACGGACACGAAGCAACCGAUACCACGCUUCCAGGAAAAGCCACUAAGCUUCAGUUUGAAUCGAACCGUACCGCAAACCGACACAGGUGGGCAGGAUGAGAAUUCUAAGGCGCUUGAGAGAACUCGGGAGAAGGAACUCGGCAAAUUGAUACCGUAACUUCGGGAGAAGGUAUGCCCUCUAAGGUUAAGGACUUGCUCCGUAAGCCCCGGAGGGUCGCAGAGAAUAGGUGGCUGCGACUGUUUAUUAAAAACACAGCACUCUGCCAACACGAAAGUGGACGUAUAGGGUGUGACGCCUGCCCGGUGCCGGAAGGUUAAUUGAAGAUGUGCAAGCAUCGGAUCGAAGCCCCGGUAAACGGCGGCCGUAACUAUAACGGUCCUAAGGUAGCGAAAUUCCUUGUCGGGUAAGUUCCGACCCGCACGAAUGGCGUAACGAUGGCCACACUGUCUCCUCCCGAGACUCAGCGAAGUUGAAGUGGUUGUGAAGAUGCAAUCUACCCGCUGCUAGACGGAAAGACCCCGUGAACCUUUACUGUAGCUUUGCAUUGGACUUUGAAGUCACUUGUGUAGGAUAGGUGGGAGGCUUGGAAGCAGAGACGCCAGUCUCUGUGGAGUCGUCCUUGAAAUACCACCCUGGUGUCUUUGAGGUUCUAACCCAGACCCGUCAUCCGGGUCGGGGACCGUGCAUGGUAGGCAGUUUGACUGGGGCGGUCUCCUCCCAAAGCGUAACGGAGGAGUUCGAAGGUUACCUAGGUCCGGUCGGAAAUCGGACUGAUAGUGCAAUGGCAAAAGGUAGCUUAACUGCGAGACCGACAAGUCGGGCAGGUGCGAAAGCAGGACAUAGUGAUCCGGUGGUUCUGUAUGGAAGGGCCAUCGCUCAACGGAUAAAAGGUACUCCGGGGAUAACAGGCUGAUUCCGCCCAAGAGUUCAUAUCGACGGCGGAGUUUGGCACCUCGAUGUCGGCUCAUCACAUCCUGGGGCUGUAGUCGGUCCCAAGGGUAUGGCUGUUCGCCAUUUAAAGUGGUACGUGAGCUGGGUUUAAAACGUCGUGAGACAGUUUGGUCCCUAUCUGCAGUGGGCGUUGGAAGUUUGACGGGGGCUGCUCCUAGUACGAGAGGACCGGAGUGGACGAACCUCUGGUGUACCGGUUGUAACGCCAGUUGUAUAGCCGGGUAGCUAAGUUCGGAAGAGAUAAGCGCUGAAAGCAUCUAAGCGCGAAACUCGCCUGAAGAUGAGACUUCCCUUGCGGUUUAACCGCACUAAAGGGUCGUUCGAGACCAGGACGUUGAUAGGUGGGGUGUGGAAGCGCGGUAACGCGUGAAGCUAACCCAUACUAAUUGCCCGUGAGGCUUGACUCU
RNAcentral lists this ribosomal RNA (2890 nucleotides) under Neisseria gonorrhoeae. RNAcentral's name for it is "bacterial LSU rRNA". It matches the Rfam family "Bacterial large subunit ribosomal RNA". The record is from RNAcentral. Lineage: Bacteria; Pseudomonadati; Pseudomonadota; Betaproteobacteria; Neisseriales; Neisseriaceae.